CCGGCACGGGUGAGUAACACGUAUCCAACCUGCCGUCUACUCUUGGACAGCCUUCUGAAAGGAAGAUUAAUACAAGAUGGCAUCAUGAGUUCACAUGUUCACAUGAUUAAAGGUAUUCCGGUAGACGAUGGGGAUGCGUUCCAUUAGAUAGUAGGCGGGGUAACGGCCCACCUAGUCUUCGAUGGAUAGGGGUUCUGAGAGGAAGGUCCCCCACAUCGGAACUGAGACACGGUCCAA
This 237-nucleotide ribosomal RNA is filed under the name uncultured bacterium. Its description in RNAcentral is "partial 16S ribosomal RNA". It matches the Rfam family "Bacterial small subunit ribosomal RNA", at positions 100 to 334 of the family's 1533-position model. The record is from RNAcentral.